UAAUUUUCUGGAAGCGUACAAAAUGGAACAAGAUUCUUCUGUAGCAGCAGACUUGCAAGAUGGGGUUGAUGAAUUCUCCAAUAUCUCUUUUCGUCCAUUGGAGGUCUCCGAUGUCGAUGAUUUCAUGGUCUGGGCUUCUGAUGAGAGAGUGACUCAUUUUUGUAGUUUUAAUCCUUACACUAGCAAAGAAGAUGGCAUAAACUAUAUCAAAAACACUGUUAUAUCCCACCCAUGGUUUAGGGCAAUAUGCCUUAACAACAGGCCUAU
This 267-nucleotide unclassified non-coding RNA is filed under the name Hevea brasiliensis (rubber tree). The record is from RNAcentral. Lineage: Eukaryota; Viridiplantae; Streptophyta; Magnoliopsida; Malpighiales; Euphorbiaceae.